GCACAACGCGAAGAACCUUACCCACCUUUGACAUGUACGGAAUCCUUUAGAGAUAGAGGAGUGCUCGAAAGAGAGCCGUAACACAGGUGCUGCAUGGCUGUCGUCAGCUCGUGUCGUGAGAUGUUGGGUUAAGUCCCGCAACGAGCGCAACCCUUGCCAUUAGUUGCUACAUUUAGUUGAGCACUCUAAUGGGACUGCCGGUGACAAACCGGAGGAAGGUGGGGAUGAUGUCAAGUCCUCAUGGCCCUUAUAGGUGGGGCUAUACACGUCAUACAAUGGCUGGUACAAAGGGUUGCCAACCCGCGAGGGGGAGCUAAUCCCAUAAAGCCAGUCGUAGUCCGGAUCGCAGUCUGCAACUCGACUGCGUGAAGUCGGAAUCGCUAGUAAUCGUGGAUCAGAAUGUCACGGUGAAUACGUUCCCGGGUCUUGUACACACCG
Molecule: ribosomal RNA, 438 nt
Filed under: uncultured bacterium
Lineage: Bacteria
Description: bacterial SSU rRNA
Rfam family: Bacterial small subunit ribosomal RNA
Source: RNAcentral